This is a long non-coding RNA of Pseudoliparis swirei, 2373 nucleotides long. RefSeq lists it as uncharacterized. The transcript has 5 exons. The record is from RefSeq and is a predicted model, not a curated record. Lineage: Eukaryota; Metazoa; Chordata; Actinopteri; Perciformes; Liparidae.
UAGCAGUCAGUUCUGGGCCGACUCUGGCUGUCUUCCGCCAGUGUCGGCUGACUCACGUACAGAUUAUCAGUGUAUAUGCCAGACUUGGUCCAGAAGUGGACGUAGCAUUACAAUAUGUUGGUAGUAAAGCUAUUACUGGGCCAAAUGUUGUUACAUAGGUCAUGGCCCAAUACUAUGCCGUUAGUUGUUGGCCCACAACACCGACUGAAUGCAACCGUCUGUGAAGUAUACAUGUCGUUGCUGGGCCAGAACCGAUAACACUAACAUCAACCAGCAUUUAUUUAUGCCAGGUGCAACAGGGAAGGUUACAUUGUUUUUAACUACAGCCUGUCCCGAACUGACGCACUCGUGUCUACAUUUCACAAAAUGCAAUUGUCUUGUCCAACCAACUGCCAGUUAAAUACACAUUAUAAAAUAGCACAUCUACCUAGUUUUUAUUCCAUUAGUUUUUAUUUAGUCAAUCACAGUCGUAAAAGAAAGUAAAGCUGAUCGUGUGAAAUCCCGGGGGAACACCAGCGGGAGACCCUGAUGAAUAUACCAAGCGCUCCUCAAAACCUCGACGCGGUUGGGAAACAACGGUCUGCCUUCAAGUGCGCAGUGAAUUUCAUCGGCGUCAGUCCACUAUCGGUAAGUACAAACAUAUUUGUUAAAAAUAUAUAUUUGAGUCCCCACAAUCAAAAGGUUGUCUGUUAGUAGUGCGCGCUGUGUUUAACAGUUUCGAUACCUAUUCUUUCUCAGCUGAAUUUCUAUUAGCGGCAGCUAUACUCUUGCUAGCUAACGUUAGUUCAGUCAGGUUUCCACUGAGUCAGAGUUUCAGUUUUUCUCAUUGAAUUAUAAAUAUAAAGGGGGGCUGUACGUUUUUCAUAGAGGAAAGCUCUCAUUUUAAAAGCUGAUAUUCAUAUCUUUUUAACGUCAAACUCCCUCCCUCAUUAAAACCUGCUGUGUCAUGCCACAAUGUGAUCGUCUGCCAGGAACUGACUGUCGUUUGAGACACCGGUUAGCUCACGAUUAUUUAGUUUUCCAUCGAUAAAAUUCAAUACUUUUGAAUCAGAAAUGGAGGUUAAGGUGUAAGUAAGCGGAGGGCUACUUGGAUUUGGCAUGACUUAUAUUUUCAAAUGCAAACUUUACAUGACAAUCGCUUUAUUUUCUUUGUUGAGGACAUUGACAAAAUCUGGCGGGAAACGUGUGUAAUCCUGCAGUAAGGGUGCGGCCCACAUCGAUAUACCGACAACGGCCCAGUAGUAGGUAACGCGGUGUGGGCCGCCUGUUGAGGAAAGGUGUUCAGGUAUUAUUGUGAUGAUAUAAUUUUAUAAAAAAUGUAAACAUCUGGUUUUACGCAUCGACGCAGGCCCCGCCCCCAAAGGGUUAAGCGAGGCCUUUCACUAAGCAAAAAUAAGUAAGAAAGGUAAUAAGAAUCCAAACUGUGGUUAAAAUGUUUUGUAUUCUGUCAGCAAUGCAUUUAACUCUAAUUAACUCUUGUUUGUCUCUGUCCUCUUUACAUAAGCUGUCCAGUUCCCUCAGAAACCAGGACAUUCAUUCAGCAGAAGGCCACAAGACAGUUCACCAAGUGGGAGCUGCAGCGGGACGCCUGCAGGAGUUGACUAUUCUGAUCAUCCAGGGCCUCAGCCAGUGCCUGUGCCAUCCUGGAGUCCUCAGGCCCCAUUUGAAACUACAACCUGUAAAUGCAUUAAUGCGGGAAAUGCUUGACUAAACAGGAGAUGAUUCUCGAGCAACAAACACGCAUCCUACAGAUUCUACAUGCAAGAAAACAAGAUGCGUCUCAAUUUGAAAUAGAUGAGGGUCUCCUGCCAGUAAGGGGCCAGCAAGGCCUCCAACGUCUUGAAAGCCAACUUCAGGAAUCUGACUUUCGAUCAAAACUGAUAAACCAUCUCAGCCUGAUUGGCGGAAGUGAUGUCAAGGAUACGGUUUGGCGUCUCAUGAAGACAACAAUCUCAAACACCCUGGCAAAGGAAACCAAUUGGAGAGGAGUAAAUGGGACGGCUGAAGACGGCUGUAAUCGCUGCCGUACGGAAGAACCCACUGACAUCGAGGGCUUCUGAACGUGAGGUGGAGAUGUUCAUGAAGAGGUGGAGAUGUUCAUGAAGAGGUGGCUACAGCUGGCAGCGGACAGAGAAGGGGGCAGAAGAAGGCGAGCCCAAAUACCUUCAGCUCCCUGAACUUGUUGAUUAUUGUUAUAUUGAUACUUGUUAUAUUGAUUGUUAAGCUCUUCAAUACAUUGUUUUAAAAAUAAGUUUAGCUCCAUGAACUUGUUGGUUAUUGUUAUAUUGAUACUUGUUAUCUUGAUUGUUGCUCUAUUUCAAUACAUUGAUUUACAAAUACUGUACAAUUUUAAUUAAAGUUGAGUUAAACUUU